GGGCAUAGCUCAGUGGUAAAGUGCAUGCUUAGCAUGCAUGAAGCUCUGGAUUCUAUCCUUGGCUUUUGCCCA
This 72-nucleotide transfer RNA is filed under the name Marmota monax (woodchuck). RNAcentral describes it as "tRNA.Ala". Lineage: Eukaryota; Metazoa; Chordata; Mammalia; Rodentia; Sciuridae. The record is from RNAcentral.